Xyrichtys novacula (pearly razorfish) is the source of this 375-nucleotide non-coding RNA. Lineage: Eukaryota; Metazoa; Chordata; Actinopteri; Labriformes; Labridae. The record is from the annotation of a GenBank genome assembly.
CUGGAAGAGAGUAGGUGAGUUGUGUUUAGCCUCUUUUCUAAAGAAAUGAGUCAAAGUUAAAAAGAUGUUUGGUGUCUAGUACUAUGGCUGUGACCCUAUAUGUCCUGUUGAUGAAGUUAGGUGCUGUUCUGGGCAUUAUUUGUGGCUAUAGAGUGGCGUUUUGGUUGAGGUUUGUUUAUGGCUCCUCAGACCGCUGUGUAUUGCUAUCAUGCGGUCGUUACUAAAGUUGGUAUAACUAGAGAAGCAAGCGGUCGGCAACAUUCAUCUCUGGAGGGGGGGUCUAACUCGGUGUAAUAGUGUGUUUGACCCUAAAUUAAUUUUAUGCCAGUAUGUCCCUUUUAAGAUCGUUGCUCCUGUGCAAACACCUUGAUGGUU